AUUGAACGCUGGCGGAAUGCUUUACACAUGCAAGUCGAGCGGCAGCACGGGGGCAACCCUGGUGGCGAGCGGCGAACGGGUGAGUAAUACAUCGGAACAUGCCCAGUCGUGGGGGAUAACACUUCGAAAGAAGUGCUAAUACCGCAUACGUCCUGAGGGGGAAAGCGGGGGAUCGCAAGACCUCGCGCGAUUGGAGUGGCCGAUGUCAGAUUAGCUAGUUGGUGGGGUAAAGGCCUACCAAGGCAACGAUCUGUAGCUGGUCUGAGAGGAUGAUCAGCCACACUGGGACUGAGACACGGCCCAGACUCCUACGGGAGGCAGCAGUGGGGAAUUUUGGACAAUGGGGGCAACCCUGAUCCAGCCAUUCCGCGUGAGUGAAGAAGGCCUUCGGGUUGUAAAGCUCUUUCGGCAGGAACGAAACGGUGAGCCCUAACAUAGCUUGCUAAUGACGGUACCUGAAGAAGAAGCACCGGCUAACUACGUG
This 484-nucleotide ribosomal RNA is filed under the name uncultured bacterium. Its description in RNAcentral is "partial 16S ribosomal RNA". It matches the Rfam family "Bacterial small subunit ribosomal RNA", at positions 30 to 507 of the family's 1533-position model. The record is from RNAcentral.